RNAcentral lists this unclassified non-coding RNA (396 nucleotides) under soil metagenome. RNAcentral's name for it is "partial contains 5.8S ribosomal RNA, internal transcribed spacer 2, and large subunit ribosomal RNA". The stretch from base 1 to 122 matches the Rfam family "5.8S ribosomal RNA", at positions 35 to 154 of the family's 154-position model. The record is from RNAcentral.
GAUGAAGAACGUAGCGAAAUGCGAUACUUGGUGUGAAUUGCAGAAUCCCGUGAACCAUCGAGUCUUUGAACGCAAGUUGCGCCCGAAGCCAUUAGGCCGAGGGCACGCCUGCCUGGGUGUCACACACCGUUACCCUCGCGCCAACGUCCAUCGUUGGCCGCGGCGCGGGGCGUGCGCUGACCUCCCGCGAGCGGGGUCUCGUGGUUGGUUGAAAAUCGAGUUCGCGGUCGAGGGUGCCGUGAUGAAAUGGUGGAUGGGCGACGCCCGAGGCCAAUCACGCGCGACUCUGUCCGGCUCNNNNUCCUGGACCCCUUCGGCGUCUCCGGACGCUCUUUGGCGAGACCUCAGGUCAGGCGGGGCUACCCGCUGAGUUUAAGCAUAUCAAUAAGCGGAGGA